CUGGCCCCGGCACGGGUGUCCCAUGCCCUCCCUCACCCCGCAGACCCUCCCCGUGCCCUCAAACCGCCGCUAACGCUCCCCUCACCCGCGCUGGGGGUGCAGCCCCCCGGUCCCAGCCCGGUGGUGGGGUGACCCCUGUGGGGUCUGAACCCUCCCAGACUCGCCAGCCUGCCUGGCAGCACAUUUUGGGAGGAUUCCCCCUCUUUUUGGGGGGAUAAUUGGGUCCUAGUUUGGCGGUGGGGGUGCUCUUGGGAGGCCCCCAGAUUUCCAUGGGGUGCUGGGGGCCAACUGGGGACAGGGAUGUGCUGGGCCCUGGGUGCUGCACCCCUCGGGUGGCACUGCUGGGGUGGGGGGGACGGUGACACCCCGCUCUGCUGCGCUGCUGCUCCCUGCUAUGCUGCACGGCACCGGCUUCCUCCGCUCCCCGGGAUCAGCAUCCAGCCACCUCUCAGCCCUCCGGGGCAAUUCCCUCCUCCCAAAAACCUGCCUAUCCCUGUCUGCUCCAAGGUCCGCCCUCCUCUCCCGGGCCACCCCUCCAGGAGGUGGUGUCACCUUUGGAUGGGUCUCAGGGGGGUAGGGACGGGCACCUGGAAUAUAACGCUGGAUGCAGCCGAGCAUCACCCAGGGCUGGACCCCGGGGCUGCCACGGGGCCCUCGUGCAAGAGAGGGUUCUCUCGGUGUGGCACAGUGCCCUGGACACCAUCCUGGCCGUGAGCGACUGGCAGCACCUCCCAGACCCCUCCUGCUGCAUUUUGGCCCUGUCAAGACCGUUUUUGUGGGGCAUUGUGGCCACCUGGCUGCGGGAGCAGCGGGACCGGCAUCCCCUGGAGUCCCUGGAGCUCCCCGGAGCGGGGGUCGAGUGUCUUUGCUUUAUUUGUUUAAUUAAAACCAAGGCAAGUAGGGCGGCCCAGGGGGCCCAGCCAUCGGGAGCCGGCACCCUCCACAAAGUGAUUCCCUGGGGAAGCCCAGUGGCCAAGCAGGACCACGGGACAGCCGGGUCUCGGGCUUUCCUGGCAGCAGGACCACCCUGGAGGACUCGGCCACACCGGGGCCCCUCCUCUGGUCCCCCCCGGGGUCACUCCCCGCCAUCCCCGGGGCAAAACAUCUCCCGUGCGGCGCCUUUUUAGCCGCGGAGGGUCCCCGCGCUCCGGACGAGCCUCAUCCCUCGCUGCCAAGGGCAGCCUGGCCACCUGGGCGCCCAUUUUCCCCCGGUGAAGAUAUGGCCCCUUCCUCCUUCUCGUUCUCCUCCUCCUCCUCGCGGGACGGGGCUCCGGGAGGCAGGAGCCAGCUCCAUAAGGAUGCAUCCGCCCGGGAAUCCACCAUGGUGUCGGCACCCAGGCUCCCUCCCUCCCCCGGUGCUGGAGCUGCUCUGAGCCCAGAAGCCCCUUCCCAUCCCCAAACGGGCCUUCCCGCCUCGCUUCCUCCCUCAGACGUAGGAGACUGUCAGGUUACGGCCUCCGGGGGGGGCUGGGGCAGGGCCCCCCUCGCUGCUGGCUCCAGGAGGGAUGCUCCUGUCUGGCACAGUGGGAUGCUGGGGGGGCUGGUGCCGCUUGCUGCUGGUUCCCACUCCCCGAACCACCACCCCGUGGGGAGGGGGAGUGAGGGGGAAAAAAUGGGACGUGGAGCAUCUCGGGGAGCGGGGGGUGCUGAGACACUGGCGACAGGAACCUCGGGAAGGUGGUGGGAUGGGAGGUCAGCUCAUCCAGCAGGGGGUGAUCCCAAACCCCUCCACUGCCAUUCCCAGUCUGGACACCCCUAGGAACCCACGCAAAGCCCACCCUCAUCCUCCCAGAGCCAAGCCCCGUGCCUCCUCCUCCUCCUCCUCCUCUUCCUCCCCGCAGAGCCGCUCGCCCCGGGCUGCCGAGGGGGCUCCCGGGGUGUCCCCCUCGCUGCUGCUUCCCCGGCUGCCGCUCCGCAUGUCCCCCCCCCGCCUCGCCCCCGCCACCCCCGCGCCCCCAUCGCUCCCCCCCUU
Molecule: long non-coding RNA, 1972 nt
Organism: Corapipo altera (White-ruffed manakin)
Lineage: Eukaryota; Metazoa; Chordata; Aves; Passeriformes; Pipridae
Exons: 3
Source: RefSeq, a predicted model, not a curated record